UUACCCCUAAUAUCCGCCAGGGGACUACAAGCGUUAGCUUAAAACCCAAAGGACCUGGCGGUGCCUCAUACCCACCUAGAGGAGCCUGUUCUUGAAUCGAUAAUCCCCGUUCAACCUCACCACCCCUUGUUCAACCCGCCUAUAUACCGCCGUCGUCAGCUCACCCUGUGAAGGUCUUAAAGUGAGCAAAAUGGGCACAACCCAAAACGUCAGGUCAAGGUGCAGCGUAUGCGGUGGGAAGAAAUGGGCUACAUUACCUACCCCAGGUCAUCACGGAAGGGGUUGUGAAACCAGCCCUGGAAGGUGGAUUUAGCAGUAAGAAGAAAAUAGAGAGUUC
RNAcentral lists this ribosomal RNA (337 nucleotides) under Protosalanx chinensis. RNAcentral describes it as "partial 12S ribosomal RNA". It matches the Rfam family "Bacterial small subunit ribosomal RNA", at positions 853 to 1359 of the family's 1533-position model. Lineage: Eukaryota; Metazoa; Chordata; Actinopteri; Osmeriformes; Salangidae. The record is from RNAcentral.